Molecule: long non-coding RNA, 2233 nt
Organism: Cyprinus carpio carpio
Lineage: Eukaryota; Metazoa; Chordata; Actinopteri; Cypriniformes; Cyprinidae
Source: Ensembl
AUGGGCUUCGUCUGGAUCGCUCUACAAACAGGAAACAAGAUAAAGAUAUGUCAUCAUAGCCAUGACCCAGCGGCUCGACCGGAGGUCACAGAGCUCUCUGAUAAACCCGUCACCCGUCUGAGUCAUGGCGGUUUGUUGACCCAGACUGAACCAGGGCUGAGAACUGAGUGCAAACCUCCAACUGAAUCAGUGGGAUUCGUCCAGAGGCACGCUGUUUUAUCCGGAGAGAUUGACUCCUCACGAAUAUCCUCAUUCAGUGCGUACACAUGGUGUUCCACUUAACUCGAAACCAGAAGCCGAUAAGAGCCAGAUAAUGGCUGCAUCUUCAAACAAAGAGCAAAGCCGAGAAAGAUACACAAGGAACUGUGCAACAACAAUUAUAGGGCUGUAAAAGUGAAGGCCAAAAAUUGACUGCUGCUUUAUGGCUUUAUUACUAGCUGAAAAUACACAGUAUCCAGAUUCUUCCAGGGAAAAUUCCUAGCUUUAUAAUAUAUGUUUAAAUAAUUAGGCAGUUAUAUUCUAUAAGCUGGAAAAUAAUAAACAAGUGGCAUUAUUGGUUUAGUUUGCUAAGCUAAGCAGAACUUUCAGCUACUAAUGCUCUUACUGUGGGUUACAGAUUUGCAAGGAUGGAAAUGCCAGCGGCCACAAAAUGAAACACAACGCCGUUUCCGUCUUCAGCUGCGACAGACAAAUUGCUUGUCACUGAAAUCUUGUCGCAUAGUGUCUGGUUAGGACAUGGUGUCAUUUUUCAGUUCUAAAUAAAUCAUAGUACUAUUUUACCUUUUAUUUGCAUUAUUCUGAAUGUUAGAAAGAGUCAUAGACGACUAGUUUAGGAAGUUCUUUGCUGUAAUAUUAAUAUAAUAUCAAUGACUGCAUUCAGACACCUGAACAGACAAAUAAUUGUGUUUCUAGGAUUCAACUUCAGUCAAACUUUAGUUUGGGGACCAAUUCUCACUAUUAAUUAUGAUUAGGGAUGUAGAAUGUGGUCAUGCAGAAUAUGUCCUUCAUACUAUGUUAAUAUAACAAUAUGUUAAUAUUGGGCAUGCUAAUAAGCAACUGGUUAAUAGUGAGAAUUGCUCCCUAAACUAAAGUGUUACCUCAACUUCUAGUCUAUUAACAACUAAUGCUCGAUCUGAAAUGCACAGGGGUUCAAAUAAUGUGCGCAGAUGCCGAUUUAUUACAUACGUGGCUUAUUUUCCUGAGUUUGUUUAUUGUAGGUGUACUAAAAAGUUAAUUUGUGAAGUAAUUACUUGAGCAGUUUGUCGGAAAAUGACUUACAUUCUUGCACGUCACAUUAUUUCUCCUACCUGGUCUCAUGGCAAAAACGUACCUGGGGACAGUUUUGCGUGAGACAGGAAAUACGUACCAAUAAGUACACAUCACUGCAGUUUCCAAAAGAAAUGAACACUAGAGGCAGUAAAACUCUGACACCUUUUAUUCCUUUUCACACAAAUUUACAGUUUCGAUUAAUAAAGCGUAAUUUUUGCACAAUUAAGAAGAAUAUUAGGUCAUGACUUCAAAACGAUUUUAAUAUGCUGGGAGAUUUGAAAACUGAUGCUUUUGAAUGUUAGCAUCGCACAUAUCCAGCUUCAUAUCUAUAGGUUUUCAUAGACGGUAGGUUUGUUCGGUAGCUCACGGAGUACGGAGAUGUACUUGAGAGGCGAGGAGCUCCGGUUUGAAUCCCGCGUAACCACGGUUUGACAAAAGAAAUGCAUUUUUAUAUCAGUUUUGCAUUUGUCAACACUAUCAGGUAGGUUUAGGGUUGGGUUUGGUGUAGGGCAUAUUUCCAACACGAGAGAGCAUUAACUUUUAGCGAUGCAAUACAUACCUGAAGCAACGUAAUAAAAACACAGCAAUACUGUACGUAUAUAUCUACGUAAUAAAAACGUGGCAGUGUUCACGUAUUGAACCCGUGUUUUAGCACCACUCAGUGGACAUUUCUCUUUGAAACUGUGGCGAAACGUGCAGUAGGGUAGGUAAAAACUGUGUUGCAGAAAGGUACCCAGAGGUACGUAUUUUUAUGAGACCAGGUUGUAUUUCUCAGUAGCUCUAUUGAAUUAUCUUGAAGAAUCUGCUAUUUUGCCAGCUGUGGUAGGGGCUGUCAGGGAAGUGUGAAGAAACAUUGUGGGAUCAUUUGAGUGGUGCCUUCUGAAGGUGUCAGGCCCAUGAUAAGUCUUGUUCAAACGUCAGCCUCUCCAAAAUGCUAUGUGUCAACAAUCAGCCCGUGUGGCUG